GUGAGGAAUAUUGGACAAUGGGCGCAAGCCUGAUCCAGCCAUGACGCGUGCAGGAAGACGCAUCUAUGGUGUGUAAACUGCUUUUGUACGGGAAGAAACACUCCCUCGUGAGGGAGCUUGACGGUACCGUAAGAAUAAGGAUCGGCUAACUCCGUGCCAGCAGCCGCGGUAAUACGGAGGAUCCAAGCGUUAUCCGGAAUCAUUGGGUUUAAAGGGUCCGUAGGCGGUUUAAUAAGUCAGUGGUGAAAGCCCAUCGCUCAACGAUGGAACGGCCAUUGAUACUGUUAGACUUGAAUUACAAGGAAGUAACUAGAAUAUGUAGUGUAGCGGUGAAAUGCUUAGAUAUUACAUGGAAUACCAAUUGCGAAGGCAGGUUACUACUUGUGGAUUGACGCUGAUGGACGAAAGCGUGGGGAGCGAACAGGAUUAGAAACCCCGGUAGUCC
This 445-nucleotide ribosomal RNA is filed under the name uncultured bacterium. Its description in RNAcentral is "partial 16S ribosomal RNA". It matches the Rfam family "Bacterial small subunit ribosomal RNA", at positions 354 to 796 of the family's 1533-position model. The record is from RNAcentral.